Molecule: ribosomal RNA, 370 nt
Filed under: uncultured organism
Description: bacterial SSU rRNA
Rfam family: Bacterial small subunit ribosomal RNA
Source: RNAcentral
CGUAGGGUGCAGGCGUUAAUCGGAAUUACUGGGCGUAAAGCGUGCGCAGGCGGUCUUUUAAGUCAGAUGUGAAAUCCCCGGGCUUAACCUGGGAACUGCGUUUGAAACUGGAAGACUUGAGUGUGGCAGAGGGGGGUGGAAUUCCACGUGUAGCAGUGAAAUGCGUAGAGAUGUGGAGGAACACCGAUGGCGAAGGCAGCCCCCUGGGCUAACACUGACGCUCAUGCACGAAAGCGUGGGGAGCAAACAGGAUUAGAUACCCUGGUAGUCCACGCCCUAAACUAUGUCAACUGGUUGUCGGGGAAGCAAUUCCUUGGUAACGAAGCUAACGCGUGAAGUUGACCGCCUGGGGAGUACGGCCGCAAGGUUA